Molecule: long non-coding RNA, 952 nt
Organism: Tigriopus californicus
Lineage: Eukaryota; Metazoa; Arthropoda; Copepoda; Harpacticoida; Harpacticidae
Exons: 4
Source: RefSeq, a predicted model, not a curated record
CCGAUAUCUCUCUAAUGAAAUUGAAGAUGAAACGUAGAGCAAAUUCAAGCAAUUCAGGUCAGUAAGGGGAGUGAAUGAUUGAAAUUAAUUGGACCAAGUAAAACCUAUAAACAAGCUAGUUGAUAGAGAUAGAGAGUAGAUUAAAUUAACGAGCUUGGAAUGAAUUAGAUUCUUGAAGUAAGCGUUAUCAGUGCGCAGUGGCAGAAAUCGGAGAAGCCAUUACAGAUAAUUUCAAUCGAUGGCCACCCAUAUGGAAAAGUGAGGGGAAAAAAGAUGAAAGAGUGUUACAAAGUUCUCAGAUAACCAACAAUUGGUAUUCCAUGGAGAAACACAACCACGGGUCACUCUGUUCCUUGUGUUUCAAGAGGGUUUCCCAUGAAUUAUUGAAAGCUGCGAAUGGGAUUUGAAACUCCAAUGAAGAUGCUUCCAUCAGCAUAAGGGUGCACAUUACUUGCUCUACAUAUAGAUAGCAGAGGAACGGCAAUCAGAGCGAUCGCUACAGAGAUGGAAAUCGCGAAAUGCCAAAGGCGAUCAAUGAACUUUGUCUACAGAGCCAGUAAAAAUAUUCAUUUUCAAAAUGUGUUGACUUGCAGCACCCGUUGGACUAACUGAGUAGAGAUGUUUCGUUUUGGGUCAUUUUAGGUCAAGACCUUGUCACUACUUUACUCUGAACUUCGUUUGGCCUUUAUAGCAGGACGAAAAUGUGCUUGCAAAGAACUUUUCACGUGGCAAAUGCACUGUAAAUAUUUGGUCAUAGACAAGAUAAUACUUGGUUAGAUUAAGUUUGAGAUAAAUGAAAACGGUUGGUCUUUACAUUUCUUAAACUUUUCUGAACUCCUUCCAGAUCUGAUGAACCACCUAAGAGUGGACUAACCGACGAAACGUGGAACGUUUAAUGUCUGAAAAACCUUUUAGCAAUACAUCACCUUUGUUUUUGUUAUUUACAACGCGA